This 5860-nucleotide long non-coding RNA is filed under the name Homo sapiens (human). Lineage: Eukaryota; Metazoa; Chordata; Mammalia; Primates; Hominidae. The record is from RNAcentral.
UGAAAUAAAAAAAAAUUCUAGUCCAAUAACAUUCAAAAGAGAUUUACUUAGCCAAAAAAUCCUAAACAACCCUUUUGUCAAUCAAGAGGAGAAUAAAUAAAUUGUGGUAUGUUCAGACCAAAACCUCCACUCAACUAUAAAAAGGAACCUACUGAUGCAUGCAGUGUGAGUGAAUCUCACAUUGUGCUCAGUGAGACGUGUUAAACACAAAAGGGCACAUACUGUGUGAUUUUAGUUACAUGAAAUUCUAGAACAGGCAAAGUUAACCUAUAGAGAGAACAAUCAGAUGAGUGGUUGCCUGGAGUGGGGAGUGAAAGGGAGAUUGCCUGUAAAGGGGAGGGAAGGAGGUGAAAAUGUUUUAUACCUUUGAUAAAAGUCAUCUACUUGAUAUUUCAAAUAUGUAGAACUUAUUGUCCGUAAAUUAUGUCUCAGUAAAGCCGGUUUAUUAAAAAAAAGGCAAAAACAUAACAAUGGGGUAGUCUUUAGUAAUAUACAAGGGUUAUACUAUGCUUGGAGUGCUGUGACUUUGGAUACAGAUGUCUAACAAGAUCGGUUAUUUUACAGCCUUCAAUGCACUCUGAAGUCCACACAAAACACAAACUAUUCUGCUUUUCUGUCCAGUCCAAAAAUAGCCCUAGGAAAAAACCUUUUAACAUUAACAAUGUGCUUCCCUUUUUAGAAUUCUGGAGAAUCAUGGGGAAAUUAUGUAUAAGAUAUAGGGCUCUUUUCAAAAUCAGCUUUUCAGAGAAAACUGAAAUAUCCUUUCUCUUUCUUCUGAUAAAUUUCCCUGAAAGAAACAGAAACACACCAAGUAAUCCCAUUGAUCUUUUUUUUUCUUUCUUUUUUUUUUUUUUUUCUGAGAUGCAGUCUUGCUCUGUCAUUUCAGCUGGUGUGCAGUGACACGAUCCCGGCUCCACUGCAACCUCCACCUCCCAGGUUCAAGCGAUUCUCCUGCCUCAGCCUCCUGAGUAGCUGGAAUUACAGGCAGUCAACACCAAGCCUGGCUAAUUUUUGUAUUUUUAGUAGAGACGGGGUUCCACCAUGUUGGCCAGGCUGGUCUCAAACUCAUGACCUCAGGUGAUCCACCCACCUUGGCCUCCCAAAGUGCUGGAAUUACAGACAUGAGCCACCACGCCCGGCCUCAGUUUCAGCACUUUUUUUUUUUUUUGUGAUGGAGUUUUGCUCUUGUUGCCCAGGCUGGAGUGCCAUGGCGCGAUCUCAGCUCACUGCAACCUCUGCCUCCCCAGGUUGAAGCAAUUUCCCGCCUCAGCCUCCUGAGUAGCUGGGAUUACAGGCGUGUGCCACCAUGCCUGGCUAAUUUUGUAUUUUUAGUAGAGACGGGGCUUUGCCGUGUUGGCCAGGCUGGUCUCGAACUCUGACCUCAAAUGAUCCACCACCUCAGCCUCCCAAAGUGCUGGGAUUGCAGGCAUGAGCCACCUUGACCGGCCAGUUUGAAUGCUUUCUAUCAAUCCACGUUUGUCUACUGACUCUUCCUCACCUUCAUAUUGUUAAUUGAGUCCAUCUAGUGAGUUUUAAAUUUUUGUUAUUGUAUUUUUGUUUUAAAAUUUCCAUUUGAGGCUAGGUGUUGUGGCUCAUGCCUGUAAUCCCAGCACUCUGGGAGGCCGAGGUGGUCGAAUCACUUCAAUUCAGGAGUUUGCGACCAGCCUGGGUGACAUGGCAAGACCCUAUCUCUACACAAAAUACAAAAAUUGUGCAUGCUUCGGUAGCACAUAUACUAAAAUUGGAAAGAUACAGAGAAGAUUAGCAUGGCCCCUGCACAAAGAUGACAUGCAAAUUUGUGUUGCGUUCCAUAUUCGCUUGAACCUGGGACAAGGAGGUUGCAGUGAGUCUAGAUCGUGCCAGGGCACUCCAGCCUGGGCAACAAGAGCGAAACUCUGUCUCAAAACCUCAAAACAAAACAAAACAAAACAAAACAACAAAACAAGGCCGGUGUAGUGGUUCAUGCCUGUAAUCCCAGCACUUUGGGAGGUGGAGGCAGGUGGAUCACCUGAGGUAAGGGGUUCAAGACCAGCCUGGGCAACAUGGUGAAACCCCCGUCUCUACUAAAAAUACAAAAAUUAGGCCAGGCAUGGUGGCUCAUGCCUGUAUUCCCAGCACUUUGGGAGGCCGAGGUGGGCAGAUCACAAGGUCAGGAGAUCGAGACCUUCCUGGCUAACACAUUGAAACCCUGUCUCUACUAAAAAUACAAAAAAUUAUCUGGGCAUGGUUGUGGGCGCCUGUAGUCCCAGCUACUCAGGAGGCUGAGGCAGGAGAAUCGCUUGAACCCAGGAGGUGGAGGUUGCAGUGAGGUGAGAUCAGGUCACUGCCCUCCAGCCUGGGCGACAGAGCAAGACUCUGUCUCAAAAGAAAAAAAAAAAGAAAAAUUAGCCAGGCGUGGUGGCGGGCACCUGUAAUCCCAGGUGCUCGGGAGGCCAAGGCACUAGACUCGCUUGAACCAGGGAGGCAGAGGUUGCAGUGAGCUAAGAUUGUGCCAUUGUACUCUAGCCUGGGUGACAGAGUGAGACUCUGUCUCAAAAAACAAAACAAAACAAAACAAAACAACUAACAAAAGGAUAAUAAGGGAAUACUAAGCAAUUCUACCCAUAUAAAUCCAACAAGUUGGAUGAAAUGGACCAAUUCCUUGAAAACUACAAACUACCAAAAAACACUCCAUAGGAAACAUAAUUUUUAAAAUCUUGUAACAAUUUUAAAAAUUGAAUUCAUGGUUUUUUAUUUUUAUUUUAUUUUAUUGUGAGACUGUAUCUCACUCUGUCACCCAUACUGGAGUGCAGUGGCACAAUCACGGCUCACUGCAGCCUUGACUUCCUGGGCUCAGGUGAUCUUCCCACCUCAGCCUCCUGAGUAGUUAGGACUACGGGCGCCCGCCACCACACCCAGCUAGAUUUUUAUUUUUUGUAGAGAUGGGGUUUUGCCAAGUUGCCCAGGCUGGUCUUCAACUCCUGGGGCUCAAGCAAUCCACCUGCCUCAGCCUCCCAAAGUGUUAAGAUUACAGGCAUGAGCCACUAGGCCCAGCUGAAUCCUUUUUUUUUUUUUUUUUUUUUUGAGAUGGUGUCUCAGUCUAUCACCCAGGCUGGAGUGCAGUGGCACAAUCUUGGCUCCCUGCAACCUUUGCCUCCUGGGUUCAAGCGAUUCUUUUGCCUCAGCCUCCCAAGUAGCUGGGACUACAGGUGCCCACCACUACACCUGGCUAAUUUUUUGUAUUUUCAGAAGAGACAGAGUUUUACUAUGUUGGCCAGGCUGGUCUCGAACUCCUGACCUCAUGCUAUCCACCCACCUCAACCUCCCAAAGUGUUAGGAUUACAGGUGUAAGCCACCACGCCUGUCCUUGAAUUCAUAGUUUUAAUAAAAGAAUUUCUUGUCUUCAUGGUCGCAUACAACUAGUUUGGUGAUUCCCUGGAAGGACCCAUGUGACUCUAGAUCAAGUUAUACUCUAGGUGAAGGUUUAUUACAGUGGAGGAUACAAUACAAAGACAGCAGGAAAAAGGAUAUUAAUAGAUGAAGGCUGGAAGGUCAAAUGCAUACUUAACCUCUGCAGGGACAGCACAGACUUAUCUUUUCCAGGAGCAAACUGCAAGGACUUGUGUGAGAUGUCCUUGCCCAGGAAAUCGCACUUGAGUUCUGGAGUCAAAAUUUGUGUGGUUAGGCCAGGCACAGUGGCUCAUCCCUGUAAUCCCAGCACUUUGGGAGGCCGAGAUGGGAGAACUGCUUGAGUCCAGGAGUUUGAGACCAGCCUGGGCAACAUGGUAAGAUCAGAUCUUUAUUUAAAAAAAAAAAAAAAAGGCUGGGCGUGGUGGCUCAUGCCUGUCAUCCCAGCACUUUGGGAGACCAAGGCGGGUGGAUCACCUGAGGUCAGGAGUUCGAUACCAGCCUAGGUAACAUGGUGUAACCCCAUCUCUACUAAAAAUACAAAAAUACAAAAAUAUUAGCUGGGCAUGUUGGCAGGCACCUGUAAUCCCAGCUACUCUGGAGGCUGAGGCAGGAGAAUCGCAUGAACCCGGGAGGCGGAGGUUGCAGUGAGCCUAGGUCGUGCCACUGCACUCAAGCCUAGGAGACAAGAGCAAGACUCCAUCUGGCUCAUGGCUGUAAUCCUAGCACUUUGGGAGGCUGACGGGGGCGGAUCACCUGAGGUCAGGAGGUCGAGAGCAGCCUGGCCAACAUGGUAAAACCCCAUCUCUACUAAAAAUGUAAAAAAAUUAGCCGGCUAUGGUGGCACACACCUGCAAUCCCAGCUACUUGGGAGGCUGAGGCGGGAGGAUCACUUGAACCCAGGAGGCGGAGGUUGCAGUGAGCUGAGAUCACACCAUUGCACUCCAGCCUGGGUGACAUUCCUGCCAUGUGACCAAACAGCCCUAAACCACCAGGUUGGGCAUCAUGAAUCUUUUAUUCUUUUUUUUUUUUUUUCAAAAAUGGGGUCUCACUAUGUCUCCUAGGCUGGAGUGCAGUGGCAUGAUCAUAGCUCACUGUGGCUUUUUUUUUUUUUUUUUUUUUGAGACAGAGUCUCGUUCUGUCACCCAGGCUGGAGUGCAGUGGUGUGAUCUUGGCUCACUGCGACCUCUGUCUCCUGGGUUCACAUGAUCCUCCUGUCUCAGUCUCCCAAGUAGCUGAGAUUACAGGCACUCACCACCACGUCCAGCUAAUUUUUUGUAUUUUCAGUAGAGACAGGUUUUUGCCAUGCUGGCCAGGCUGAUCUUGAACUCCUGACCUCAAGCGAUUCUGCCUGCCUCGGCCUCUCCAAAUUCUGGGAUUACAGGCCUGAGCCACUGAGCCUGGCCAAGCAUCAUGAAUCUGUAUGUUUACUUUAAACCUGCUGACAGCCUGGUUCAUCUGGGCUCACUGUUUUGGGCGUGGAGAAUAACAUCUGACCCGGUAGCUAUGUGAAUAUUCCAGGAGUUUGGUUUUCAGACUUUGACCAAUGGCCAUGCUUUGGCUAUAGAAAUAAGUGAGAAAUGAAUGAAUCAGACCUGUUGUGUUAACUCUUUCCUCCCACUCUUAAAAAAGGUAUCUCCAGACCCAGAUAGUUUCACUGGAGAAGUCUGCUCAUAGUUAAAGAAAUAGCAACACCAAUUACACGUAAUCUCCAGAAAACAGAAGAAGGGGCAUUUCCAGACUGACGAGGCCAGUACAGUUGACCCUUAUAACUGCAGGUUCCCCAUCCAUGGAUUCGGCCAACCACAGAUCGAAAAUAUUCCAAAAUAUGGACUCUAGGCACGGUGGCUCACACCUGUAAUCCCGAGAAUCACUUGAACCCAGGAGGCGGAGGUUGCAGUGAGCCGAGAUCACGCCACUGCACCACUGCACCACUGCACCGCUGCACUCCAGCCUGGAUGACAAGAGUGAAACUCCGUCUCAAAAAGAAAAAAAUCACUCUGGGUGGGCAUGGUGGCUCACACCUGUAAUCUCAACAUUGUGGGAGGCCAAUGAGAAAGAAUUGCUUGAGCCCAAGAGUUUGAGACCAGCCUGGGCAAAUAGCAAGACCCUGUCUCUACAAAAAAAUUUAAAAAUUAGCUGGGCAUGGUGGUGCUUCUCUACUGUAAUCCCAGGUACUUGGGAGGCUGAGAUGGGAGGAUCACAUGAGCCCAGGAGUUCCAGGCUGCAGUGAUCUAUGAUUGCAACACUGUACUCCAGCCUCGGGAACACAGCGAGAUCCUGUCUCAAAAACAAACAAAAAAACAAAAACAGGAAAAAACUCAAUUCUGAAAACUUUGCCUUAACUUGUAGUCUAGAGUUGAAGACCCCUCCGCUAAGCUCUGGUGAGAGGCUAACUGAAUAAGAACACUUUGACCAUCAUAUUAUAAUAAUUGCUUUCUCUCUUUCUUUCCCUCUCUCUCUCUUUUUUCUC